UGCCACUAGAUUUCUAUUAGUGGUACAUCCUGCCCAGUGAAUUUUCAACGGCCGCGGUAUCCUGACCGUGCAAAGGUAGCAUAAUCACUUGCCUAUUAAUUGUAGGCUAGAAUGAAGGGACAAACGAGAAUAAAGCUGUCUCCUCUAAGCCAUUAAAACUUUAUAUCCGAGUGAAGAAGCUCAGAUACAGACGCAGGACAAGAAGACCCUAUAGAGCUUUACCUAAAACACUUAACAUAAAUGUGCCAUGGUUCGGUUGGGGCGACCAAGGGACAUCAAACACCCUUAGCUUUUAAGAUAUACAAAUCUCAUUAAUGAUCCUUACUUCAAGAUCAUCGAAUCUAGCUACCUUAGGGAUAACAGGCUAAUCCUCUUUAAGAGCCCUUAUCGACAAGAGGGUUUGGCACCUCGAUGUUGGCUUAGGAUCUCUAUAUGACGCAGCAGUCAUAACCAGAUGGUUUGUUCAACCAUUAAUAUCCU
This 480-nucleotide ribosomal RNA is filed under the name Rhyacodrilus stephensoni. RNAcentral describes it as "partial large subunit ribosomal RNA". It matches the Rfam family "Bacterial large subunit ribosomal RNA", at positions 1832 to 2597 of the family's 2925-position model. The record is from RNAcentral. Lineage: Eukaryota; Metazoa; Annelida; Clitellata; Tubificida; Naididae.